This 1306-nucleotide ribosomal RNA is filed under the name Escherichia coli. Its description in RNAcentral is "partial 23S ribosomal RNA". It matches the Rfam family "Bacterial large subunit ribosomal RNA", at positions 1512 to 2798 of the family's 2925-position model. The record is from RNAcentral. Lineage: Bacteria; Pseudomonadati; Pseudomonadota; Gammaproteobacteria; Enterobacterales; Enterobacteriaceae.
UUAAGCGUGUAGGCUGGUUUUCCAGGCAAAUCCGGAAAAUCAAGGCUGAGGCGUGAUGACGAGGCACUACGGUGCUGAAGCAACAAAUGCCCUGCUUCCAGGAAAAGCCUCUAAGCAUCAGGUAACAUCAAAUCGUACCCCAAACCGACACAGGUGGUCAGGUAGAGAAUACCAAGGCGCUUGAGAGAACUCGGGUGAAGGAACUAGGCAAAAUGGUGCCGUAACUUCGGGAGAAGGCACGCUGAUAUGUAGGUGAAGCGACUUGCUCGUGGAGCUGAAAUCAGUCGAAGAUACCAGCUGGCUGCAACUGUUUAUUAAAAACACAGCACUGUGCAAACACGAAAGUGGACGUAUACGGUGUGACGCCUGCCCGGUGCCGGAAGGUUAAUUGAUGGGGUUAGCGCAAGCGAAGCUCUUGAUCGAAGCCCCGGUAAACGGCGGCCGUAACUAUAACGGUCCUAAGGUAGCGAAAUUCCUUGUCGGGUAAGUUCCGACCUGCACGAAUGGCGUAAUGAUGGCCAGGCUGUCUCCACCCGAGACUCAGUGAAAUUGAACUCGCUGUGAAGAUGCAGUGUACCCGCGGCAAGACGGAAAGACCCCGUGAACCUUUACUAUAGCUUGACACUGAACAUUGAGCCUUGAUGUGUAGGAUAGGUGGGAGGCUUUGAAGUGUGGACGCCAGUCUGCAUGGAGCCGACCUUGAAAUACCACCCUUUAAUGUUUGAUGUUCUAACGUUGACCCGUAAUCCGGGUUGCGGACAGUGUCUGGUGGGUAGUUUGACUGGGGCGGUCUCCUCCUAAAGAGUAACGGAGGAGCACGAAGGUUGGCUAAUCCUGGUCGGACAUCAGGAGGUUAGUGCAAUGGCAUAAGCCAGCUUGACUGCGAGCGUGACGGCGCGAGCAGGUGCGAAAGCAGGUCAUAGUGAUCCGGUGGUUCUGAAUGGAAGGGCCAUCGCUCAACGGAUAAAAGGUACUCCGGGGAUAACAGGCUGAUACCGCCCAAGAGUUCAUAUCGACGGCGGUGUUUGGCACCUCGAUGUCGGCUCAUCACAUCCUGGGGCUGAAGUAGGUCCCAAGGGUAUGGCUGUUCGCCAUUUAAAGUGGUACGCGAGCUGGGUUUAGAACGUCGUGAGACAGUUCGGUCCCUAUCUGCCGUGGGCGCUGGAGAACUGAGGGGGGCUGCUCCUAGUACGAGAGGACCGGAGUGGACGCAUCACUGGUGUUCGGGUUGUCAUGCCAAUGGCACUGCCCGGUAGCUAAAUGCGGAAGAGAUAAGUGCUGAAAGCAUCUAAGCACGAAACUUGCC